Octopus bimaculoides (California two-spot octopus) is the source of this 4266-nucleotide long non-coding RNA. RefSeq lists it as uncharacterized. NCBI's taxonomy places the organism in Eukaryota, Metazoa, Mollusca, Cephalopoda, Octopoda, Octopodidae. The record is from RefSeq and is a predicted model, not a curated record.
CUCUUUAAUAGAAUCGUAAAGCUACAUCAGUGACUCAAGCAACGCAAAAAGGUCUACAACGCUAAACUGUGCGGUAUUUACUAAGCAUCGCAACUCUUUCAAGACGCAAAAAACACAAGCACGACUCUUCAAGAACACAGUAUCGCGCCCCACCUUAAGCAUGAACAGUACGCAACUGGAUCCCUCCAAAUCUUAGACCUCACAAUCACAAACAAUCUUUCCUGGUGAACGCAUAUUCUUUACAUAGAGAAGACUGCAUCUGAUUGACUGGACCCUCUCUUCAAGGCCAAAAAUUAAUUCGACCCUUAACAAAUACUAGCUUCCUACAAAACUCGAGUGAGACCAACAUGGAUAACAGACGCGCGCGCGCGCACACACACACACACACACACACACACACACAAACGUUAACACAACAAAUGUUCAGAUUGCUGCAAGUAAAGAGUCGAAUUAGAAAAACAAAAUAAUAUGUAACAACUUUUCGUACCAGUCAGGUUGUGGUUUUCACAUCAGUUCCCGAAAGACCACAAGACACUGUGCACAUUGUUGACACUAUGUUCAGCACCAAAUAUUUCAGAUAUUAAAGAAAUUGAUAAUGAUAAGCACACAACUUUCUACACAACAACCAAGAACAGCUACGUUGACAAUGACGAUCAGGAUGUCUUUCCUUUAUCUUUUACUUGUUUUAGUCAUUAGACUGCCGCCACGCUGGGACACCGCCUUGAAGAAUUUCAGUCGAACGAAUCGACUCCAGUACUUAUUCUUUUGAAGCCUAGUACUUAUCUAACGUCCCUUUCGUCGAACACACAUCAAUAUCGGUUGUCAAGAGUUGGUGGGGGGAAAACAAACACACGUGUGUGUGUGUGUGUGUGUGUGUGUGUGUGUGUGUGUGUGUGCGUAUACUACAUGGUUCUUUCAGCUUCCGUCUACCAAAUCCACUCACAAGGCGUUGGUCGACCCGAAGAAAUGGUAAAAGACACUUACCCAAGGUUCCACGCAGUGGGACUGAACCAGGAGUUACGUGGUUGGGAAGCAAACUUCUUAUCACACAGCCCCGCCUCACAAUAAAACAAAAAUCGAGUAAUCGAGUAUAUACAGAACAUGGCUCCUCCAAAAAUUAAUAUAAUUCAAGUAACGAAAAUAACGACGAAGUGAUUGUGAUCCAUGACACUUCACUCCUUCUACGGGACAAUAUCACUGAAAUUUAACAAAAUUAGCCAUUUCUGGUGCAAUAUAAACCAAAGAGAUUUGGUAAGAAGACUAAUUUCAGAGAUUUCAAGAAUGAAUAGUUUAAAUAUGUUUGAUUUAGCAGCGAUGUUGAUAAGUGACAAGAUUUGUGUUUGCCUUGUAAAGUGUCCAUCCAUAGAAUAUACAAAAGCAUCAAGAAGCAGAAAAUCGAGAAAACGUGAAAAUUAUUAUUGAAACUCUUGUUCACUGAUCAUCAUCAUUUAUCUUGAUGAAGUCUGCAGGGGUCUGCAUUAACUUAGACGAAAAUUCUUUGGUAACUUUUUGAAAACUCUUCAGCCCAACGAUAUUAUUUGGCUAAGAGAUAUUUAGUUAGCGAAACGCAUGAUGCGAAGGAUAUUCCAUUAUCGUCAAUAGAACAUCAGACAUAAUCAGGUAGCAAUAUGCCACGAGGUCGACUUUGCCUUUCAUCCUUUCGGGGUCGAUAAAUUAAGUACCAGUUGUGUACUGCUGUCGAUCUAAUCGACUGGUCCCCUCCCCCAAAACUUUCGGGUCUUGUGCCUAGAGUAAAAAAAAAUGCCACCUCCUGAUGUCGCUUGACGUUGUUAAUGAAAUGGACAAGUUACAAUAUGCCUUAACCCUUAACUCCAUCAUUGUAGGAGAAACCAUGGCGUGCUUCAUCGGAUUCUAUCUACUGAAGGAAACUUAUGAAUUGGGGACGCACAGUAGUAUAUUAAGAGUUUAUGGGAAAAUGUUGCUUUACAUAUAUUUAUUGCAAGAAACAGAUUUCUUUCUCAAAUGUUUUACAUAGUUCAACCUACACAAGUUAAUGUGUGAAAAACAAAAUAGGAAAUUUGAAAGAAGUAUCUAUAAAACUAGUUUUAAACAUCGGGAGGUUAUGGCGAUCUAUCGGAGUAAAAUAGUAAUCAAAAAGAGCCAUAGGUAAAAAUGGGUACUGAGAAACGCUGGUUUAUAUCUUCUACAACUUUCUAAAGUCUAGUCCCAAACGACAUACACUCUAUGUGAGUAUCAGAAUCGGAGAACAAACCUCAUGGACACAUACACUUCAAAGGUGGUAUUGUAGAUGUGAAGACAAGUCUUCGUAGAGUAAUUAUCUCAUAUCAUAAAGAUAUUGCCUGACCUGACACUUUGUCAACACACUAAGAACAAAUACGGAUUACAGGAUAUUAUUGAAUGAUAUAUCUUAUUUUGACUUUUUAAUUGGAUUGGUUAUGCUGGAAAUUAUUCUGUCAAACAGCUUCAGUAAAUUCUUCCAGAAAAAGACUACAGCUUGUUAUAACAGCUAGAAGAAAAGCUACAGCAACCAAGGGAACUCUUGUUUACUACAGAAAUAAAGAAAACUUUGAAAGGAUUUGGAAUGUUGAGUGAAACAAUGAAACAUAUCAUCCAAGAAACAUGAUUCUUAUUAAUGGAAGCAAGAGUUCCACAUUCUCUUAUUCUUUUCUUGUUUCACUUAUUAGAGUGCGGCCAUACUGACGCACUACCUUGAAGAAAUAGAUCCCAGUACUUAUUUUUUUCAAACCUCGUACUUUUUCUAUCGUUCUCUUUUUUUUUUUUUUUUUUUUUUUUUUGAACCACUAAGGAUGAAAGGCAAAGUCAACCUCGGCGGAAUUUGAACUCGGAACGUAACGGCAGACGAAAUACCGCUAAGCAUUUCGCCCAGCGUGCUAACGUUUCUGCCAGCUCGCCACAAGGUUUCCUUUGAAGCUCUUGACAUGGCCCUUCAGGAUCUAAGACACAACACCAGGCUCAUGGGAGGUGCCACAGUCUUGCUUGCAGGAGACUUUAGAAAACCCUUCCAGUAGUUCCAAAGGGGACAAGAGCUGAUGAAGUAAAUGCCAGCAUAAAGUCGUCCUACCUAUGGAACAGUGUGCAAAAGCUAAGACUCACGACCAGCAUGAAAGUGUAGCUCAGUGGUGAUGAUACAGACAGAACAUUUUCAAAGCAACUGUUGGACGUCGGUAGUAGUACUUCGGUUGGCGAGAAGGAUGGCCGGGUAAGCUUGCCUUUUGGACAUAUGGUAUCUGGUUUAAAGGAACUAAUGAAUAAGGUGUUUCCUAACCAGAGGAAUCAGUUUACAGAAAACAACUGGCUGAAAACACGUGCCAUUUUUUAGCUCUAAAGAAAGUAGCAGUUGAUGAUUUGAACUUUAAACUCCCACCUCACAACUUGCACCUCAAGAUUGGGGCACCAGUUAUGCUGCUUCGAAACCUCGAUCCACCAAAGCUUUGCAAUCGCACACGUCUUAUAAUAAAGAAGAUGAUGCCAACAGUCUUAGAGACAACAAUUUUGACUGGUAAAGCAAGCGGUGAGCCUGUAUUCAUUCCUAGAAGUCUACUUAUUCCCUCGGAUAUGUCUUUCCAGUACAAGCGCCUGCAAUUCCCGUUGAAACUGAGCUUCGCAAUGAGCUCAGGUGCAGUCCUUGAACGUGGUAGAUCUAAACCUUGCGGAACAAGUUUUCUCCCAUGGCCAACUUUGUGUGGGAUGCUCAAGAGUCGGCAAUCCUAAUCAUUUGUUUAUUUAUGUCCCACAAGGAUAGACCAAAAAUGUUGUUUAUCAAGAAGCACUGCAAACAUAAUAAGAUUCACCAAAUCAUCAGAUUACAGCCAUGCUGCAGCAUCACCUUGAAGGGUUUUAGUCAUACAAAUCGACCCCAGUACUUAUUCUAUUGGUCUCUUUCACCAAACUACUGAGUUGUGGGAACAUAAACAAACCAACAGCGAUUGUCAAGCGGUGAUGAUGGACAGACAUACAUAUAUAUGUAUAUAUAUAUACAAACUUAUUUCAAUUUUUACACACCAAAUCCACUCACAAGGCUUUGGUUGACCUGAGGCUAUAAUUGAAGACACUUGUCCAAGGUUCCACAUGGACUGAACUCAGAAUCAUGAGGUUGGGAAGCAAAUUUCUUACCUCAGUAAACAACUUUGAAUAAAAGUAAUUUUCGUUAGAUUAUCUUCUAGUUGAUUGAUGUUUCCAACACUGGAGAGUUCACAACUUUCUGUAAUUAUGUCGUACAUAAUUCAUGUUUGUCUAGUUACAAAAGUGUUUAAAAAAGGAGAG